CAGAGAUUGUAAAAUCAUAACCAUCCAGGAAAUUUGGCACAGAAAAAGUAUUUAUUUCCAUACCAUUUCCAUUAGGAAUUACAAGAAGCAUCUGUCUUUGCAUCUAUCACUAUCUCUACCUAAAAGACUUAAAAAAGACACUUUCAACCCUUGGUGUGAUUCAGUUCUAUUUCAAUAAACUGCUUUAUGAAGAGCAACCAAUUCAGUAAAGCCCAUUUUCCUUGCUGCUAAAUUCUUCACACUGAAGACAGAAAAAUUCCACAAUUACCAGAGGAGUCCUGGGAAAGAAGAAAGUAAUGAAGAUAAUUGAGGACCCCCCAGUUUUACACAUGGGAGGCUGUGCCGCUGAUUAAGGUAUUGCCUCUCUAAAAGGCUACUUACUUUCAUACAGUUCCCAAAACCAAACGCAGUUAAGCC
Molecule: long non-coding RNA, 417 nt
Filed under: Dasypus novemcinctus (nine-banded armadillo)
Lineage: Eukaryota; Metazoa; Chordata; Mammalia; Cingulata; Dasypodidae
Description: lncRNA (ENSDNOG00000050027.1)
Source: RNAcentral